ACUUCCGUCUGCGUGGGGCCCACAUCCUGGAGCGCCCAGGCUUCCGAGGGGCAGACGGUGGGACCUGGUCCGGGCUGAGGUCCUGGCGGGUGAGCAGGAUCUUCGCCGUGCGGCGCAGAGGGUGACAGUGGAGAAGGUGACCAGAAGCCAGAAGGAGCCUAUGUGAAAGCACGCAAUGAAUACUUACAGCAUCCACAUGUCUGCUUCCACCAGGAGUGCUGAGCUGUGUGGUAACUUUAUUUUAACCUUUUGAAGAACUGUCAGACUCUUUUCUGAAGCGGCUACACCAUUGCAUAAUCCCACCAGCAAUAUAUGACCCAGGACUUCUCCAUGAAGACUUUCUAGACUUGUCUAUUCAAAGAUAAUCAUUCCCAACGGCAAACAAUUC
Molecule: long non-coding RNA, 388 nt
Filed under: Equus asinus (donkey)
Lineage: Eukaryota; Metazoa; Chordata; Mammalia; Perissodactyla; Equidae
Description: lncRNA (ENSEASG00005033648.1)
Source: RNAcentral